This 336-nucleotide unclassified non-coding RNA is filed under the name soil metagenome. Its description in RNAcentral is "partial contains 5.8S ribosomal RNA, internal transcribed spacer 2, and large subunit ribosomal RNA". The stretch from base 1 to 120 matches the Rfam family "5.8S ribosomal RNA", at positions 35 to 154 of the family's 154-position model. The record is from RNAcentral.
GAUGAAGAACGUAGCGAAAUGCGAUAAGUAAUGUGAAUUGCAGAAUUCAGUGAAUCAUCGAAUCUUUGAACGCACAUUGCGCCCGACAGUAUUCUGGCGGGCAUGCCUGUUCGAGCGUCAUUUCAACCAUCAAGCCCCCGGCUUGUGUUGGGGACCUGCGGCUGCCGCAGGCCCUGAAAAGCAGUGGCGGGCUCGCUGUCACACCGAGCGUAGUAGCAUACAUCUCGCUCUGGGCGUGCUGCGGGUUCCGGCCGUUAAACCACCUUCAUAACCCAAGGUUGACCUCGGAUCAGGUAGGAAGACCCGCUGAACUUAAGCAUAUCAAUAAGCGGAGGA